UCCUCUUUAGUAUGGUGAUGAGUAUCCCCUCCUGUUAUGUGGGAGACCAGGGUUCGAUUCCCUUGAUGGGGAGGCA
RNAcentral lists this transfer RNA (76 nucleotides) under Cervus elaphus hippelaphus. Its description in RNAcentral is "tRNA-Asp". Lineage: Eukaryota; Metazoa; Chordata; Mammalia; Artiodactyla; Cervidae. The record is from RNAcentral.